This 407-nucleotide ribosomal RNA is filed under the name uncultured bacterium. RNAcentral describes it as "partial 16S ribosomal RNA". It matches the Rfam family "Bacterial small subunit ribosomal RNA", at positions 28 to 526 of the family's 1533-position model. The record is from RNAcentral.
GACGAACGCUGGCGGCGUGCCUAAUACAUGCAAGUAGGACGCAGUUGCGAACGGGUGAGUAACGCGUAGGAAACUGCCUAUUAGAGGGGGAUAACUAUUGGAAACGAUAGCUAAUACCACAUACUAGUAGAUGGACCUGCGUUGUAUUAGCUAGUAGGUAGGGUAAUGGCCUACCUAGGCGAAGAUACAUAGCCGACACGAGAGGGUGAACGGGCAACCUGGGACUGAGACACGGCCCAGACUCCGCCGGGAGGCAGCAGUAGGGAAUCUUCGGCAAUGGGGGGAACCCUGACCGAGCAACUCAGCGUGAGUGAAGAAGGUUUUCGGAUCGUAAAGCUCUGUUGUUAAGGAAGCGGUACUUAACCAGAAAGGGACGGCUAACUACGUGCCAGCCGCCGCGGUAAUUC